Molecule: long non-coding RNA, 109 nt
Organism: Ipomoea nil (Japanese morning glory)
Lineage: Eukaryota; Viridiplantae; Streptophyta; Magnoliopsida; Solanales; Convolvulaceae
Exons: 3
Source: RefSeq, a predicted model, not a curated record
GAGCUUAGCUGGUCUAGAAAUCCUAUUACUCCCUCAUUUUUCUCUUAUUUUCCUAUCAUCCUUGUCUUGGUCUUCAUUGUCGGGAAAUGCAAGAGGAUGAAGUAGAGCU